UACGUAGGAUGCAAGCGUUGUCCGGAAUUAUUGGGCGUAAAGAGCUCGUAGGCGGUUUGUCGCGUCUGCCGUGAAAGUCCGGGGCUCAACUCCGGAUCUGCGGUGGGUACGGGCAGACUAGAGUGAUGUAGGGGAGACUGGAAUUCCUGGUGUAGCGGUGAAAUGCGCAGAUAUCAGGAGGAACACCGAUGGCGAAGGCAGGUCUCUGGGCAUUAACUGACGCUGAGGAGCGAAAGCAUGGGGGAGCGAACAGG
This 254-nucleotide ribosomal RNA is filed under the name uncultured bacterium. RNAcentral describes it as "partial 16S ribosomal RNA". It matches the Rfam family "Bacterial small subunit ribosomal RNA", at positions 524 to 776 of the family's 1533-position model. The record is from RNAcentral.